This 513-nucleotide ribosomal RNA is filed under the name Campylobacter jejuni. RNAcentral describes it as "partial 23S ribosomal RNA". It matches the Rfam family "Bacterial large subunit ribosomal RNA", at positions 1 to 533 of the family's 2925-position model. The record is from RNAcentral. Lineage: Bacteria; Pseudomonadati; Campylobacterota; Epsilonproteobacteria; Campylobacterales; Campylobacteraceae.
AAAGGUAAGCUACUAAGAGCGAAUGGUGGAUGCCUUGACUGGUAAAGGCGAUGAAGGACGUACUAGACUGCGAUAAGCUACGGGGAGCUGUCAAGAAGCUUUGAUCCGUAGAUUUCCGAAUGGGGCAACCCAAUGUAUAGAGAUAUACAUUACCUAUAUAGGAGCGAACGAGGGGAAUUGAAACAUCUUAGUACCCUCAGGAAAAGAAAUCAAUAGAGAUUGCGUCAGUAGCGGCGAGCGAAAGCGCAAGAGGGCAAACCCAGUGCUUGCACUGGGGGUUGUAGGACUGCAAUGUGCAAGAGCUGAGUUUAGCAGAACAUUCUGGAAAGUAUAGCCAUAGAGGGUGAUAGUCCCGUAUGCGAAAAACAAAGCUUAGCUAGCAGUAUCCUGAGUAGGGCGGGACACGAGGAAUCCUGUCUGAAUCCGGGUCGACCACGAUCCAACCCUAAAUACUAAUACCAGAUCGAUAGUGCACAAGUACCGUGAGGGAAAGGUGAAAAGAACUGAGGUGAU